ACUACAAAAUUGUUGGCAUAUAGAACGGGUUGCUAUCAAUAUUUAUAGCAAUAUCUGAGCUAACUUGGCAGCCAUGUCACAUGGUGUCAUUGGCUUUGCAUGAGGAUUCAUAUCCCUCUCUGUUUCAACAGACCUUUCUUGAUUAACCACCCCACAUGGUGCCAUUGGCUUUGCAAGACUCUUCACCAUUUUGCUGGUCUCUCAUAUUGACAGCAAUAGGUGGUUAGAGUUUAAAUUUCAAUGGGUGUAAAUCUUUUGAGGGAUUCAUAAGAUUUGUGGAAGAAAAACAAGAUGAAUGUUGAAGAGAGAUAAUAGGGAGUCCAGUUAAAGAAGGAAAGAUGGAGGUGAAUUGAAGUGAGAAAAUUUGGAUAAAAAAUGUGAGAGAGAAUUACGGGUAAUGGAGUCAAAUUUAGCCAAAAGUGGGCCUCCGUUGAGAAAUAAUAGGAAGU
This 449-nucleotide long non-coding RNA is filed under the name Solanum tuberosum (potato). RNAcentral's name for it is "long non-coding RNA (STUB_LNC001971)". Lineage: Eukaryota; Viridiplantae; Streptophyta; Magnoliopsida; Solanales; Solanaceae. The record is from RNAcentral.